GAAAUCUUUAAGAGCGAUACAGAGAUGUCGACAAGGUUUUGAAUAAUGGACGAUAGGGCAUAUGCCCUGUGUUUUUGUGUGUCUGAAUCAAAGAACCUUGUUAUAGACAGGGUUCUUUUUUGUU
Ruminococcus sp. CAG:563 is the source of this 124-nucleotide non-coding RNA. The record is from Rfam. Lineage: Bacteria; Bacillati; Bacillota; Clostridia; Eubacteriales; Oscillospiraceae.